Molecule: small nuclear RNA, 191 nt
Filed under: Aotus nancymaae (Ma's night monkey)
Lineage: Eukaryota; Metazoa; Chordata; Mammalia; Primates; Aotidae
Description: U2 spliceosomal RNA (ENSANAG00000009199.1)
Rfam family: U2 spliceosomal RNA
About the family: U2 is a small nuclear RNA (snRNA) component of the spliceosome (involved in pre-mRNA splicing). Complementary binding between U2 snRNA (in an area lying towards the 5' end but 3' to hairpin I) and the branchpoint sequence (BPS) of the intron results the bulging out of an unpaired adenosine, on the BPS, which initiates a nucleophilic attack at the intronic 5' splice site, thus starting the first of two transesterification reactions that mediate splicing.
Source: Rfam by way of RNAcentral
AUCACUUCUCAACCAUUUGGCUAAGAUCAAGUGUAGUAUCUAUCUUUAUCAGUUUAAUAUCUGAUGUCUCCUCUAUCUGAGGACAGUAUAUUUAAUGUAUUUUUUGAACAGGGAGAAGAAAUAGGAGCUUGCUCUGUCCCCUUCAUGCCUAGACCUGGUAUUUCAGGACCUCCAGAAACAAUGCCUCCUCC